AAAGGAAUUGACGGGGGCCCGCACAAGCGGAGGAACAUGUGGUUUAAUUCGAUGAUACGCGAGGAACCUUACCCGGGCUUGAAAGUGAGCGACGUGCAUAGAGAUAUGCAUUCCCUUCGGGGCGCGAAACUAGGUGCUGCAUGGUUGUCGUCAGCUCGUGCCGUGAGGUGUCGGGUCAAGUCCCAUAACGAGCGCAACCCACGUUGAUAGUUACCAUCAGGUCAAGCUGGGGACUCUAUCGAGACUGCCGGUGCAAGCCGAGAGGAAGGUGUGGAUGACGUCAAAUCAGCACGGCCCUUACGUCCGGGGCUACACACGUGUUACAAUGGAUGGGACAGAAGGAAGCGAGCUAGUGAUAGCAAGCGGAUCCCGAAACCCAUCCCUAGUUCGGAUAGGAGUCUGCAACCCGACUCCUUGAAGCUGGAUUCGCUAGUAAUCGCGCAUCAGCCAUGGCGCGGUGAAUACGUUCCCGGGCCUUGUACACACCGCCCGU
This 493-nucleotide ribosomal RNA is filed under the name uncultured bacterium. Its description in RNAcentral is "bacterial SSU rRNA". It matches the Rfam family "Bacterial small subunit ribosomal RNA", at positions 903 to 1397 of the family's 1533-position model. The record is from RNAcentral.